Molecule: ribosomal RNA, 1047 nt
Filed under: uncultured organism
Description: bacterial SSU rRNA
Rfam family: Bacterial small subunit ribosomal RNA
Source: RNAcentral
ACCCAGCCAUGCCGCGUGCAGGAUGACUGCUCUAGUAGUUGUAAAACUGCUUUUCUAUUUCAUGAACCCCUCUGACGUGUCAGGGGCUGACGGUAGAAUAGGAAUAAGCAUCGGCUAACUCCGUGCCAGCAGCCGCGGUAAUACCGGAGGAUGCAAAGCGUUAUUCCGGAUUUACUAGGUUUAACGGGUGCGUAGGCGGGGUAAUCAAGUCAGUGGUGAAAUCCUGCAGCUCAACUGUUAGAACUGCCAUUGAAAACUGAUAUUCCUUGAGUAAUAAGUUGAGGUAAGGCGGAAUGUUGUUAAGUAGCGGUGAAUUGCAUAGAGAUAACACAGAACACCGAUUGCGAAGGCAGCUUACUUAACUAGUACUGACGCUGAGGUACGAAAGCGUGGGGAGCGAACAGGAUUAGAUACCCUGGUAGUCCACGCCGUAAACGUUGAUCACUAGUUGUUUGCGAUACAUUGUGAGCGACUGAACAAAAGCAUUAAGUGAUCCACCUGGGGAGUACGUUGGCAACGAUGAAACUCAAAGGAAUUGACGGGGGCCCGCACAAGCGGAGGAACAUGUGGUUUAAUUCGAUGAUACGCGAGGAACCUUACCUGGGCUUAAAUGUAAGACGACUAACAGGGAAACUUGUUAUCUUUCGAGCGUCCUACAAGGUGCUGCAUGGUUGUCGUCAGCUCGUGCCGUGAGGUGUCGGGUUAAGUCCCAUAACGAGCGCAACCCUUAUCGUUAGUUGCCAGCGGGUAAUGCCGGGGACUCUAGCGAAACUGCCAUCGUAAGAUGUGAGGAAGGUGGGGAUGACGUCAAAUCAGCACGGCCCUUAUGUCCAGGGCUACACACGUGUUACAAUGGUCGAAACAAAGGGCAGCUACUUGGUGACAAGAUGCUAAUCUCUAANAUCGAUCUCAGUUCGGAUCGAAGUCUGCAAUUCGACUUCGUGAAGUUGGAUUCGCUAGUAAUCGCGCAUCAGCAAUGGCGCGGUGAAUACGUUCCCGGGCCUUGUACACACCGCCCGUCAAGCCAUGGAAGCUGGGGUACCUGAA